This 163-nucleotide ribosomal RNA is filed under the name uncultured bacterium. RNAcentral describes it as "partial 16S ribosomal RNA". It matches the Rfam family "Bacterial small subunit ribosomal RNA", at positions 341 to 519 of the family's 1533-position model. The record is from RNAcentral.
ACGGGAGGCGACAGUAGGGAAUCUUGCGCAAUGGGCGAAAGCCUGACGCAGCGACGCCGCGUGAGGGAUGAAGGCCUUUGGGUCGUAAACCUCUGUCGGAGGGGAAGAAAUUUUGACGGUACCCUCCAAGGAAGCCCCGGCUAACUACGUGCCAGCAGCCGCG